Molecule: ribosomal RNA, 483 nt
Filed under: uncultured bacterium
Lineage: Bacteria
Description: SSU rRNA
Rfam family: Bacterial small subunit ribosomal RNA
Source: RNAcentral
AGAUUGAACGCUGGCGGCAUGCCUUACACAUGCAAGUCGAACGCGAAAGCGGGGGCAACCCCGCAAGUAGAGUGGCGAACGGGUGAGUAAUACAUCGGAACGUGUCCAGUAGCGGGGGAUAACCUCUCGAAAGAGAGGCUAAUACCGCAUACGACCUACGGGUGAAAGAGGGGGAUCGCAAGACCUCUCACUAUUGGAGCGGCCGAUGUCGGAUUAGCUAGUUGGCGGGGUAAAAGCCCACCAAGGCGACGAUCCGUAGCUGGUCUGAGAGGACGACCAGCCACACUGGAACUGAGACACGGUCCAGACUCCUACGGGAGGCAGCAGUGGGGAAUUUUGGACAAUGGGCGCAAGCCUGAUCCAGCCAUGCCGCGUGAGUGAAGAAGGCCUUCGGGUUGUAAAGCUCUUUCAGCGCAGACGAAGCGAAAGUGACGGUAUGCGCAGAAGAAGCACCGGCCAACUACGUGCCAGCAGCCGCGGUAA